This 497-nucleotide ribosomal RNA is filed under the name uncultured bacterium. RNAcentral describes it as "partial 16S ribosomal RNA". It matches the Rfam family "Bacterial small subunit ribosomal RNA", at positions 28 to 507 of the family's 1533-position model. The record is from RNAcentral.
GAUGAACGCUGGCGGCGUGCCUAAUACAUGCAAGUCGAGCGAACAGACGAGGAGCUUGCUCCUCUGACGUUAGCGGCGGACGGGUGAGUAACGCGUGGAUAACCUACCUAUAAGACUGGGAUAACUUCGGGAAACCGGAGCUAAUACCGGAUCAUAUAUUGAACCGCAUGGUUCAAUAGUGAAAGACGGUUUUGCUGUCACUUAUAGAUGGAUCCGCGUCGCAUUAGCUAGUUGGUAAGGUAACGGCUUACCAAGGCGACGAUGCGUAGCCGACCUGAGAGGGUGAUCGGCCACACUGGAACUGAGACACGGUCCAGACUCCUACGGGAGGCAGCAGUAGGGAAUCUUCCGCAAUGGGCGAAAGCCUGACGGAGCAACGCCGCGUGAGUGAUGAAGGUCUUCGGAUCGUAAAACUCUGUUAUUAGGGAAGAACAAAUGUGUAAGUAACUAUGCACGUCUUGACGGUACCUAAUCAGAAAGCCACGGCUAACUACGUG